CCCUUAGAUGUUCUGGGCCACACGCGCGCUACACUGAUUCAUGCAACAAGUUUUGUCCUUGGCUGAUAGGCCUGGGUAAUCUUUGAACGUGAAUCGUGAUGGGGAUAGAUGAUUGCAAUUAUUCAUCUUCAACGAGGAAUUCCUAGUAAACGCAAGUCAUCAGCUUGCAUUGAUUACGUCCCUGCCCUUUGUACACACCGCCCGUCGCACCUACCGAUUGAAUGGUCCGGUGAAAUCUUCGGAUCUGAGAGAUGUCUGAUUAAUUUCGGACGCCUUUUGGAAAAGUUGCUUAAACCUUACCAUUUAGAGGAAGGUGAANUCGUAACA
Molecule: ribosomal RNA, 327 nt
Filed under: uncultured eukaryote
Lineage: Eukaryota
Description: partial 18S ribosomal RNA
Rfam family: Eukaryotic small subunit ribosomal RNA
Source: RNAcentral